CCCUUAGAUGUCCUGGGCUGCACGCGCGCUACACUGAUGUGUCCAGUAAGCACCUAACCUCUUCCGAAAGGAACGGGUAACCUUUGCAAAGCACAUCGUGAUGGGGAUAGAUUAUUGCAAUUAUUAGUCUUGAACGAGGAAUUCCUAGUAAGCACAAGUCAUCAGCUUGUGUUGAUUACGUCCCUGCCCUUUGUACACACCGCCCGUCGCUCCUACCGAUUGAAUGUUCCGGUGAGCUCUUCGGACUGCGCGGUCUGCAGUUUCUGCGUUCCGUGCGGAAAGUUGCGCAAACCUUAACAUUUAGAGGAAGAAGAAGUCGUAACA
This 324-nucleotide ribosomal RNA is filed under the name uncultured eukaryote. RNAcentral describes it as "partial 18S ribosomal RNA". It matches the Rfam family "Eukaryotic small subunit ribosomal RNA", at positions 1470 to 1796 of the family's 1831-position model. The record is from RNAcentral.